AAAGAAACCAACAGGGAUUGCCUCAGUAACGGCGAGUGAAGCGGCAACAGCUCAAAUUUGAAAUCUGGCCCCUCGGGGUCCGAGUUGUAAUUUGCAGAGGAUGCUUUUGGUGCGGUGCCUUCCGAGUUCCCUGGAACGGGACGCCAUAGAGGGUGAGAGCCCCGUACGGUCGGACACCAAGCCUAUGUAAAGCUCCUUCGACGAGUCGAGUAGUUUGGGAAUGCUGCUCAAAAUGGGAGGUAUAUUUCUUCUAAAGCUAAAUACCGGCCAGAGACCGAUAGCGCACAAGUAGAGUGAUCGAAAGAUGAAAAGCACUUUGAAAAGAGGGUUAAACAGCACGUGAAAUUGUUAAAAGGGAAGCGCUUGUGACCAGACUUGCGCCCGGUGAAUCACCCAGCUCUCGCGGCUGGGGCACUUUGCCGGCUCAGGCCAGCAUCAGCUCGCCGUCGGGGACAAAAGCUUCGGGAACGUAGCUCUCUUCGGGGAGUGUUAUAGCCCGCUGCAUAAUACCCUUCGGCGGGCUGAGGUACGCGCUCCGCAAGGAUGCUGGCGUAAUGGUCAUCAGCGACCCGUCUUGAAACACGGACCAAGGAGUCAACCUUAUGUGCGAGUGUUCGGGUGUCAAACCCCUACGCGUAAUGAAAGUGAACGCAGGUGAGAGCUUCGGCGCAUCAUCGACCGAUCCUGAUGUUCUCGGACGGAUUUGAGUAAGAGCAUAUAGGGUUGGACCCGAAAGAAGGUGAACUAUGCGUGUAUAGGGUGAAGCCAGAGGAAACUCUGG
RNAcentral lists this ribosomal RNA (781 nucleotides) under Colletotrichum dracaenophilum. RNAcentral describes it as "eukaryotic LSU rRNA". It matches the Rfam family "Eukaryotic large subunit ribosomal RNA", at positions 58 to 867 of the family's 3401-position model. Lineage: Eukaryota; Fungi; Ascomycota; Sordariomycetes; Glomerellales; Glomerellaceae. The record is from RNAcentral.